This 344-nucleotide ribosomal RNA is filed under the name Lactiplantibacillus plantarum. Its description in RNAcentral is "bacterial SSU rRNA". It matches the Rfam family "Bacterial small subunit ribosomal RNA", at positions 73 to 399 of the family's 1533-position model. The record is from RNAcentral. Lineage: Bacteria; Bacillati; Bacillota; Bacilli; Lactobacillales; Lactobacillaceae.
UUGGUGCUUGCAUCAUGAUUUACAUUUGAGUGAGUGGCGAACUGGUGAGUAACACGUGGGAAACCUGCCCAGAAGCGGGGGAUAACACCUGGAAACAGAUGCUAAUACCGCAUAACAACUUGGACCGCAUGGUCCGAGCUUGAAAGAUGGCUUCGGCUAUCACUUUUGGAUGGUCCCGCGGCGUAUUAGCUAGAUGGUGGGGUAACGGCUCACCAUGGCAAUGAUACGUAGCCGACCUGAGAGGGUAAUCGGCCACAUUGGGACUGAGACACGGCCCAAACUCCUACGGGAGGCAGCAGUAGGGAAUCUUCCACAAUGGACGAAAGUCUGAUGGAGCAACGCCG